ACAGCAGCAGCCACGGUAAUACGAGGGGCGCAAGCGUUAUUCGGAUUGAUUGGGUGUAAAGGGUGUGCAGACGGCUUAUUAAGUCACUUGUUAAAUUCUUCGGCCUAACUGAAGGUCUGCAAGUGAUACUGAUGAGCUAGAGGGUGGAAGAGAGAAGUGGAAUUCUCGGAGUAGCGGUAAAAUGCGUAGAUCUCGAGAGGAACACCAAUGGCGAAGGCAGCUUCUUGGUCCAUUCCUGACGUUCGUACACGAAAGCGUGGGGAGCAAACGGGAUUAGAUACCCCGGUAGUCCCUGUCUCUUAUAC
This 305-nucleotide ribosomal RNA is filed under the name uncultured bacterium. RNAcentral describes it as "partial 16S ribosomal RNA". It matches the Rfam family "Bacterial small subunit ribosomal RNA", at positions 506 to 807 of the family's 1533-position model. The record is from RNAcentral.